AUAGAUACCCCGGUAGUCCACGCCGUAAACGAUGAGUGCUAAGUGUUAGAGGGUUUCCGCCCUUUAGUGCUGCAGCUAACGCAUUAAGCACUCCGCCUGGGGAGUACGGUCGCAAGACUGAAACUCAAAGGAAUUGACGGGGGCCCGCACAAGCGGUGGAGCAUGUGGUUUAAUUCGAAGCAACGCGAAGAACCUUACCAGGUCUUGACAUCCCACUGACCGGUAUAGAGAUAUACCUUUCCCUUCGGGGACAGUGGUGACAGGUGGUGCAUGGUUGUCGUCAGCUCGUGUCGUGAGAUGUUGGGUUAAGUCCCGCAACGAGCGCAACCCUUGAUCUUAGUUGCCAGCAUUUAGUUGGGCACUCUAAGGUGACUGCCGGUGACAAACCGGAGGAAGGUGGGGAUGACGUCAAAUCAUCAUGCCCCUUAUGACCUGGGCUACACACGUGCUACAAUGGAUGGUACAAAGGGCUGCAAGACUGCGAAGUCAAGCCAAUCCCAUAAAACCAUUCUCAGUUCGGAUUGCAGG
This 528-nucleotide ribosomal RNA is filed under the name uncultured bacterium. RNAcentral describes it as "bacterial SSU rRNA". It matches the Rfam family "Bacterial small subunit ribosomal RNA", at positions 778 to 1304 of the family's 1533-position model. The record is from RNAcentral.